This 500-nucleotide ribosomal RNA is filed under the name uncultured bacterium. RNAcentral describes it as "partial 16S ribosomal RNA". It matches the Rfam family "Bacterial small subunit ribosomal RNA", at positions 29 to 523 of the family's 1533-position model. The record is from RNAcentral.
AUUGAACGCUGGCGGCAUGCCUUACACAUGCAAGUCGAGCGGCAGCGCGGGGGCAACCCUGGCGGCGAGCGGCGAACGGGUGAGUAAUACAUCGGAACGUGUCCAGUAGCGGGGGAUAACCUGUCGAAAGAUAGGCUAAUACCGCAUACGACCUACGGGUGAAAGCGGGGGACCGCAAGGCCUCGCACUAUUGGAGCGGCCGAUGUCGGAUUAGCUAGUUGGCGGGGUAACGGCCCACCAAGGCGACGAUCCGUAGCUGGUCUGAGAGGACGACCAGCCACACUGGAACUGAGACACGGUCCAGACUCCUACGGGAGGCAGCAGUGGGGAAUUUUGGACAAUGGGCGCAAGCCUGAUCCAGCCAUGCCGCGUGAGUGAAGAAGGCCUUCGGGUUGUAAAGCUCUUUCGGCGGGGACGAAACGGUCCGUGCCAACACCACGGACUAAUGACAGUACUCGCAGAAGAAGCACCGGCUAACUACGUGCCAGCAGCCGCCGUAA